Non-coding RNA from Nicotiana tabacum (common tobacco), 1668 nucleotides. The record is from RefSeq and is a predicted model, not a curated record. Lineage: Eukaryota; Viridiplantae; Streptophyta; Magnoliopsida; Solanales; Solanaceae.
CAGAAGCCCACAAAGCAGAAUAGAGUACAAGCUCUAUGUAAAAUUGGCACUCUCUCUCUGUACAAAUCAGGUCUCCUCAUCUAAAAUUUCACCCAAAUCAAAAUCCCUCGAAUCAAAAUGUGAAUCUCAGGAAUACCAAAAAAAUCACAUAGAAAGAAUCAUUUGAAGCGUAUUUGGUGUUGUAAUUUUCGAUUCUUGGUCUUGACAGAAUCUCAGCUUAUCUCUUUUCUUGGUCUAUCACAUCACUACUGGCUAUAAGCAUCGUCUCCCCUCUUUUUUGGACAAUGCCUGCUGAAGUUCACAUGCUCCUUCGACGUUUUGCUUUUACUGAAUCCUAACAUCAGAAGAAGAGGAGCUUCAUGGUUGACGAAUACAUUCUGUCACAAAGAUCACCUAUUGUCUGAUUCAAUUCACAAGGUCAUUUCCCUCGGGAAGGAAUAAAAGAUAUGAUGGAUAAAAGUUGGUUGAAUAUUAGGAAUAGAAUCGACCAACGAUAUAGAGAUGGAGUAGACAACUUUCUUAAUUGGGCAUUCAGUCAUCCAACUGUGGUUUGAUCAUGAGGAGCACUAUCUCGUUCCAAGUUGGAAAUUGGCAGAAAAUAGUUCUGAAACAUGGAGAAGUAAUGUAGUUAAAGGUCAAGGAUAAAUUUGAAGUUUUCAGCGGGUUGCGAGAGCAUAGGUUUCAGGCCUUUGUAAUUAGCACUAUGCAAAGGCUUUUUAGAGCAUGGAAAGCUCGACUCAGCAUUCUGUACUCUAAGUACAGUACUAAUGAAGAAAGAUUGUCUCAUCGACCUGAAGAUGUUGAGUUUGAGGACUGGAAAUACCUAAUACAAUAUUUUGGAAGUCCAGAAUUUAAGGUUGUAAGUGAGAGGAACAAAAGAAAUAGAGAAAAGCAAAUAACUAAGCAUACUUGUGGUACAAAGUCUUUUGCAGAAGUAGAGGAAUCUAUGACAAAUCCUAUUACUGGAGAAUUGGACACACAAGUUUGGGAGAUCCAACAUACACACAAGGAUGAUAGAGGCGAACUGGUGUGGUUGGAUUCACCAUCCCAAUAAAUUUAUGGUCAACUCCAGUAAGUUGUCGCUCAGCAACAAUCUGAGGAUAUCGAGCAUCCCAUGACUAGAGAUGAGAUUUUAUCCUCCAUUGUUGGUGAGAGAACAUGCUAUGUUCGUGGAAAAGGAGUAACAUUCAGCAGGCAAACAUAGAGGCCAGCGUGUCUUCUGCUAUUGGUAUUGUGCGUCAAGAGAUGCAAGCCGAGAUGGAUAGGAAGUUGCAAGAAGAACGUGAACAAACGGCUGCUGAGUUGCGAAGAAAUAUGGAAAUUGAGUUGGAAAGGAAGUUGGCAGAGGAGCGUCAACACGCAAAUGAGGAGCGUCAACACGCAAAUGCAGAAACAGACAAGAGGAUCUCUCUAGAAGUGGAGAAGAAGAUGCAUGAACAAUUUGCUAGUUUCUUGACCAGAAUGCAACAACAACAGCAGGGACAAGACACUUAAACAGUGGUUCAAGGAUGGUGUCGAGCAAGGAGCAGUUACAAGACACUUAAUAUUUUAUCUUUUUUGGGAUAUGUAUAUGUGUACAAUUACAAUGCACAAUGAAGUGUCAGGUAAUAUAUAUGUAAUUGACUUUUUAGUAAUGAUAAUAUUUAUAAUAUUCGGCUUGAGAAAUUC